Molecule: ribosomal RNA, 504 nt
Filed under: Lopidea sp. WCW-2003i
Lineage: Eukaryota; Metazoa; Arthropoda; Insecta; Hemiptera; Miridae
Description: partial 16S ribosomal RNA
Rfam family: Bacterial large subunit ribosomal RNA
Source: RNAcentral
GUUCUUUUGUUUAUAUAAAAGAUUUGACCUGCCCAAUGAUUAAUAAUUUAAUGGCUGCAGUAUUUUGACUGUACAAAGGUAGCAUAAUCAUUUGUCUUUUAAUUGAAGUCUAGAAUGAAUGGUUUGAUGAAAAAUAUACUUUCUUUUUUUUAUAGGAAAAAUUUAAUUUUUCAGUCAAAAAGCUGAAAUAUUAUUAUAGGACGAGAAGACCCUAUAGAACUUUAUUUUUAUUUAUAUAUAUUAGUUUUGGUUAAUAUAUAAUAUAUAUAUAAAUAUAAAUUUUGUUGGGGUGACAAAAAAAAUUUAAUAACUUUUUUUAUUAAUAUCAUUUAUGAAUGGAAGGUUUGAUCCUUUUUUAUGGAUGGAAGAUUAAGGUUACCUUAGGGAUAACAGCGUUAUUAUUUUGGAGAGUUCUUAUCGAUAAAAUAGUUUGCGACCUCGAUGUUGGAUUAUAAUAAGAUAUAGGAGUAGAAUAUUAUAUUCUGGGUCUGUUCGACCUUUAAA